RNAcentral lists this ribosomal RNA (714 nucleotides) under Streptomyces atratus. RNAcentral describes it as "bacterial SSU rRNA". It matches the Rfam family "Bacterial small subunit ribosomal RNA", at positions 56 to 788 of the family's 1533-position model. The record is from RNAcentral. Lineage: Bacteria; Bacillati; Actinomycetota; Actinomycetes; Kitasatosporales; Streptomycetaceae.
UGCAGUCGAACGAUGAAGCCUUUCGGGGUGGAUUAGUGGCGAACGGGUGAGUAACACGUGGGCAAUCUGCCCUUCACUCUGGGACAAGCCCUGGAAACGGGGUCUAAUACCGGAUAACACUCUGUCCCGCAUGGGACGGGGUUAAAAGCUCCGGCGGUGAAGGAUGAGCCCGCGGCCUAUCAGCUUGUUGGUGGGGUGAUGGCCUACCAAGGCGACGACGGGUAGCCGGCCUGAGAGGGCGACCGGCCACACUGGGACUGAGACACGGCCCAGACUCCUACGGGAGGCAGCAGUGGGGAAUAUUGCACAAUGGGCGAAAGCCUGAUGCAGCGACGCCGCGUGAGGGAUGACGGCCUUCGGGUUGUAAACCUCUUUCAGCAGGGAAGAAGCGAGAGUGACGGUACCUGCAGAAGAAGCGCCGGCUAACUACGUGCCAGCAGCCGCGGUAAUACGUAGGGCGCAAGCGUUGUCCGGAAUUAUUGGGCGUAAAGAGCUCGUAGGCGGCUUGUUGCGUCGGUUGUGAAAGCCCGGGGCUUAACCCCGGGUCUGCAGUCGAUACGGGCAGGCUAGAGUGUGGUAGGGGAGAUCGGAAUUCCUGGUGUAGCGGUGAAAUGCGCAGAUAUCAGGAGGAACACCGGUGGCGAAGGCGGAUCUCUGGGCCAUUACUGACGCUGAGGAGCGAAAGCGUGGGGAGCGAACAGGAUUAGAUACCCU